Molecule: unclassified non-coding RNA, 223 nt
Filed under: Glomeraceae sp.
Lineage: Eukaryota; Fungi; Glomeromycota; Glomeromycetes; Glomerales; Glomeraceae
Description: partial contains 5.8S ribosomal RNA and internal transcribed spacer 2
Rfam family: 5.8S ribosomal RNA (bases 1-71)
Source: RNAcentral
GUGAAUCAUCAAAUCUUUGAACGCAUAUUGCACUUUCUGGUAUUCCGGAGAGUAUGCCUGUUUGAGGGUCAGUUAAAUAAAAAUCGGUGUUGUUGCUACUUUUAGCGAUGAUGCAUCGGACUUGAGUUGUCUUUACCUUUUUUGGUUAAAGUGUCUUAUAAUUAUGUACGUUUUUUUGAACGUACUUAUAUUGUUUACUUCUUUUCAUAAUAUUACAUAUAUU